This is a long non-coding RNA of Dermacentor silvarum, 513 nucleotides long. RefSeq lists it as uncharacterized. The record is from RefSeq and is a predicted model, not a curated record. The transcript is spliced from 3 exons. Lineage: Eukaryota; Metazoa; Arthropoda; Arachnida; Ixodida; Ixodidae.
UUCUCUUUUCCAGGAGCUUGCGGCAAAGCACACAAUAAGGAAAAUGAAGUUUUCAAUUGUUGUUAUUGUAUCAGUCAUCCAAGCUGCAUUUGUUGCAUGUAACUAUGGUACGCAACAAUGUCCAGCAAGAGUCGACAGUGGUGGAAACUGUCGCAUUUUCGGCCUGACUAUUCCACCUGGUACGACUGUGACGUCUCGAAACCCCUGUGUUAAAGUGACGUGCCAGAAUAAUGGCGACAUGGUGGUAUCAGGGUGUGCUGCCACCGCUGGGAAUGCCCAACAUGCCCCCGGAGCGCCGAGCGGAGCGGGCGUCCAGCCAUAUCCAGCCUGCUGUACAAGCUGUGGCCCGAUUCGUCAAGCCCAUUAAAAAACCGUCCAUGUUACUUCAAAGCAGCUGCUGAAUGCUUCGCCAUAUCCUAUUUCAUUUUUGUGUGCAGUAGGCGAAACUAGAAGCCAUGAAUUCGUAUUCUUUGUAACUGGGAAGAGUUUCACGUAACUUUCUUCAUUUCAAUA